RNAcentral lists this transfer RNA (73 nucleotides) under Clostridioides difficile P7. RNAcentral's name for it is "partial tRNA-Met". It matches the Rfam family "tRNA". From Rfam's summary of the family: Transfer RNA (tRNA) molecules are approximately 80 nucleotides in length. The record is from RNAcentral. Lineage: Bacteria; Bacillati; Bacillota; Clostridia; Peptostreptococcales; Peptostreptococcaceae.
GGAGUGGAGCAGUUGGCAGCUCGUCGGGCUCAUAACCCGAAGGUCGUAGGUUCAAGUCCUGCCUCCGCAACCA